This 279-nucleotide ribosomal RNA is filed under the name uncultured bacterium. RNAcentral describes it as "partial 16S ribosomal RNA". It matches the Rfam family "Bacterial small subunit ribosomal RNA", at positions 506 to 784 of the family's 1533-position model. The record is from RNAcentral.
UGCCAGCCGCCGCGGUAAUACGGAGGGUGCAAGCGUUGUUCGGAAUUACUGGGCGUAAAGCGCGUGUAGGCUGCUUGAUUAGUCGGAUGUGAAAGCCCUCGGCUCAACCGGGGAAGUGCAUCCGAUACUGUCAAGCUUGAGUACUGGAGAGGGAUGGGGAAUUCCCGGUGUAGAGGUGAAAUUCGUAGAUAUCGGGAGGAACACCAGCGGCGAAGGCGCCAUCCUGGACAGAUACUGACGCUGAGACGCGAAAGCGUGGGGAGCAAACAGGAUUAGAUA